UCCGGCUUGACGCCGGCAGUCCCCCGAGAGUCCUCAGCUUGACCUGUUAGUAACACGGGGCAAGGGUUGCGCUCGUUGCGGGACUUAACCCAACAUCUCACGACACGAGCUGACGACAGCCAUGCAGCACCUGUCUCUCGGUUCCCGAAGGCACCAAUCCAUCUCUGGAAAGUUCCGGCAAUGUCAAACCCAGGUAAGGUUCUUCGCGUCGCAUCGAAUUAAUCCGCAUGCUCCGCCGCUUGUGCGGGCCCCCGUCAAUUCCUUUGAGUUUCAGCCUUGCGGCCGUACUCCCCAGGCGGGGCACUUACUGCGUUAGCGACGGCACUCAGAGGGUCGCUCCCCCAAGCACCUAGUGCCCAUCGUUUACGGCGUGGACUAC
This 379-nucleotide unclassified non-coding RNA is filed under the name uncultured bacterium. RNAcentral's name for it is "contains 16S-23S intergenic spacer region". The record is from RNAcentral.